RNAcentral lists this ribosomal RNA (2905 nucleotides) under Escherichia coli. RNAcentral describes it as "23S ribosomal RNA". It matches the Rfam family "Bacterial large subunit ribosomal RNA". Lineage: Bacteria; Pseudomonadati; Pseudomonadota; Gammaproteobacteria; Enterobacterales; Enterobacteriaceae. The record is from RNAcentral. RNAcentral also lists the same sequence under 1 other name.
GGUUAAGCGACUAAGCGUACACGGUGGAUGCCCUGGCAGUCAGAGGCGAUGAAGGACGUGCUAAUCUGCGAUAAGCGUCGGUGAGGUGAUAUGAACCGUUAUAACCGGCGAUUUCCGAAUGGGGAAACCCAGUGUGUUUCGACACACUAUCAUUAACUGAAUCCAUAGGUUAAUGAGGCGAACCGGGGGAACUGAAACAUCUAAGUACCCCGAGGAAAAGAAAUCAACCGAGAUUCCCCCAGUAGCGGCGAGCGAACGGGGAGGAGCCCAGAGCCUGAAUCAGUGUGUGUGUUAGUGGAAGCGUCUGGAAAGGCGCGCGAUACAGGGUGACAGCCCCGUACACAAAAAUGCACAUAUUGUGAGCUCGAUGAGUAGGGCGGGACACGUGGUAUCCUGUCUGAAUAUGGGGGGGACCAUCCUCCAAGGCUAAAUACUCCUGACUGACCGAUAGUGAACCAGUACCGUGAGGGAAAGGCGAAAAGAACCCCGGCGAGGGGAGUGAAAAAGAACCUGAAACCGUGUACGUACAAGCAGUGGGAGCCUCUUAAUGGGGUGACUGCGUACCUUUUGUAUAAUGGGUCAGCGACUUAUAUUCUGUAGCAAGGUUAACCGAAUAGGGGAGCCGAAGGGAAACCGAGUCUUAACUGGGCGUUAAGUUGCAGGGUAUAGACCCGAAACCCGGUGAUCUAGCCAUGGGCAGGUUGAAGGUUGGGUAACACUAACUGGAGGACCGAACCGACUAAUGUUGAAAAAUUAGCGGAUGACUUGUGGCUGGGGGUGAAAGGCCAAUCAAACCGGGAGAUAGCUGGUUCUCCCCGAAAGCUAUUUAGGUAGCGCCUCGUGAAUUCAUCUCCGGGGGUAGAGCACUGUUUCGGCAAGGGGGUCAUCCCGACUUACCAACCCGAUGCAAACUGCGAAUACCGGAGAAUGUUAUCACGGGAGACACACGGCGGGUGCUAACGUCCGUCGUGAAGAGGGAAACAACCCAGACCGCCAGCUAAGGUCCCAAAGUCAUGGUUAAGUGGGAAACGAUGUGGGAAGGCCCAGACAGCCAGGAUGUUGGCUUAGAAGCAGCCAUCAUUUAAAGAAAGCGUAAUAGCUCACUGGUCGAGUCGGCCUGCGCGGAAGAUGUAACGGGGCUAAACCAUGCACCGAAGCUGCGGCAGCGACACUAUGUGUUGUUGGGUAGGGGAGCGUUCUGUAAGCCUGUGAAGGUGGCCUGUGAGGGUUGCUGGAGGUAUCAGAAGUGCGAAUGCUGACAUAAGUAACGAUAAAGCGGGUGAAAAGCCCGCUCGCCGGAAGACCAAGGGUUCCUGUCCAACGUUAAUCGGGGCAGGGUGAGUCGACCCCUAAGGCGAGGCCGAAAGGCGUAGUCGAUGGGAAACAGGUUAAUAUUCCUGUACUUGGUGUUACUGCGAAGGGGGGACGGAGAAGGCUAUGUUGGCCGGGCGACGGUUGUCCCGGUUUAAGCGUGUAGGCUGGUUUUCCAGGCAAAUCCGGAAAAUCAAGGCUGAGGCGUGAUGACGAGGCACUACGGUGCUGAAGCGACAAAUGCCCUGCUUCCAGGAAAAGCCUCUAAGCAUCAGGUAACAUCAAAUCGUACCCCAAACCGACACAGGUGGUCAGGUAGAGAAUACCAAGGCGCUUGAGAGAACUCGGGUGAAGGAACUAGGCAAAAUGGUGCCGUAACUUCGGGAGAAGGCACGCUGAUAUGUAGGUGAAGCGACUUGCUCGUGGAGCUGAAAUCAGUCGAAGAUACCAGCUGGCUGCAACUGUUUAUUAAAAACACAGCACUGUGCAAACACGAAAGUGGACGUAUACGGUGUGACGCCUGCCCGGUGCCGGAAGGUUAAUUGAUGGGGUUAGCGGUAACGCGAAGCUCUUGAUCGAAGCCCCGGUAAACGGCGGCCGUAACUAUAACGGUCCUAAGGUAGCGAAAUUCCUUGUCGGGUAAGUUCCGACCUGCACGAAUGGCGUAAUGAUGGCCAGGCUGUCUCCACCCGAGACUCAGUGAAAUUGAACUCGCUGUGAAGAUGCAGUGUACCCGCGGCAAGACGGAAAGACCCCGUGAACCUUUACUAUAGCUUGACACUGAACAUUGAGCCUUGAUGUGUAGGAUAGGUGGGAGGCUUUGAAGUGUGGACGCCAGUCUGCAUGGAGCCGACCUUGAAAUACCACCCUUUAAUGUUUGAUGUUCUAACGUGGGCCCCUUACCGGGGUUGCGGACAGUGUCUGGUGGGUAGUUUGACUGGGGCGGUCUCCUCCUAAAGAGUAACGGAGGAGCACGAAGGUUGGCUAAUCCUGGUCGGACAUCAGGAGGUUAGUGCAAUGGCAUAAGCCAGCUUGACUGCGAGCGUGACGGCGCGAGCAGGUGCGAAAGCAGGUCAUAGUGAUCCGGUGGUUCUGAAUGGAAGGGCCAUCGCUCAACGGAUAAAAGGUACUCCGGGGAUAACAGGCUGAUACCGCCCAAGAGUUCAUAUCGACGGCGGUGUUUGGCACCUCGAUGUCGGCUCAUCACAUCCUGGGGCUGAAGUAGGUCCCAAGGGUAUGGCUGUUCGCCAUUUAAAGUGGUACGCGAGCUGGGUUUAGAACGUCGUGAGACAGUUCGGUCCCUAUCUGCCGUGGGCGCUGGAGAACUGAGGGGGGCUGCUCCUAGUACGAGAGGACCGGAGUGGACGCAUCACUGGUGUUCGGGUUGUCAUGCCAAUGGCACUGCCCGGUAGCUAAAUGCGGAAGAGAUAAGUGCUGAAAGCAUCUAAGCACGAAACUUGCCCCGAGAUGAGUUCUCCCUGACUCCUUGAGAGUCCUGAAGGAACGUUGAAGACGACGACGUUGAUAGGCCGGGUGUGUAAGCGCAGCGAUGCGUUGAGCUAACCGGUACUAAUGAACCGUGAGGCUUAACCUU